RNAcentral lists this ribosomal RNA (793 nucleotides) under uncultured archaeon. Its description in RNAcentral is "bacterial SSU rRNA". It matches the Rfam family "Archaeal small subunit ribosomal RNA", at positions 85 to 879 of the family's 1478-position model. The record is from RNAcentral.
ACUGCUCAGUAACACGUAGUUAACCUAACCUAUGGAUGGGGAUAACCUCGGGAAACUGAGAAUAAUCCCCGAUAGAUCACAAUGCCUGGAAUGGUUUGUGAUUCAAAUGAUUUAUCGCCGUAGGAUGGGACUGCGGCCUAUCAGCUAGUUGGUGAGGUAAUGGCCCACCAAGGCUAUAACAGGUACGGGCUCUGAGAGGAGGGGCCCGGAGAUGGGUACUGAGACACGGACCCAGGCCCUAUGGGGCGCAGCAGGCGAGAAACCUUUGCAAUGUGCGAAAGCACGACAAGGUUAAUCCGAGUGUCUUCUGCUAAAGAAGUCUUUUGUUAGUCAUAGAACCACUGAUGAAUAAGGGGUGGGCAAGUUCUGGUGUCAGCCGCCGCGGUAAAACCAGCACCUCGAGUGGUCAGGAGGUUUAUUGGGCCUAAAGCAUCCGUAGCCGGUUGUUUAAGUUUUCGGUUAAAUCUAUGCGCUUAACGUAUAGGCUGCCGAAAAUACUGGACAGCUAGGGAGUGGGAGAGGUACACGGUACUCAAUAGGAAGGGGCAAAAUCCUUUGAUCUGUUGAUGACCACCUGUGGCGAAGGCGGUGUACCAGAACACGUUCGACGGUGAGGGAUGAAAGCUGGGGGAGCAAACCGGAUUAGAUACCCGGGUAGUCCCAGCUGUAAACGAUGCAAACUCGGUGAUGCAUUGGCUUGUGGCCAAUGCAGUGCCGCAGGGAAGCCGUUAAGUUUGCCGCCUGGGAAGUACGUACGCAAGUAUGAAACUUAAAGGAAUUGGCGGGGGAGCAC